UAGUGGCGAACGGGUGAGUAACACGUGGGCAAUCUGCCCUUCACUCUGGGACAAGCCCUGGAAACGGGGUCUAAUACCGGAUAACACUUCCACUCUCCUGGGUGGAGGUUAAAAGCUCCGGCGGUGAAGGAUGAGCCCGCGGCCUAUCAGCUUGUUGGUGAGGUAAUGGCUCACCAAGGCGACGACGGGUAGCCGGCCUGAGAGGGCGACCGGCCACACUGGGACUGAGACACGGCCCAGACUCCUACGGGAGGCAGCAGUGGGGAAUAUUGCACAAUGGGCGAAAGCCUGAUGCAGCGACGCCGCGUGAGGGAUGACGGCCUUCGGGUUGUAAACCUCUUUCAGCAGGGAAGAAGCGAAAGUGACGGUACCUGCAGAAGAAGCGCCGGCUAACUACGUGCCAGCAGCCGCGGUAAUACGUAGGGCGCAAGCGUUGUCCGGAAUUAUUGGGCGUAAAGAGCUCGUAGGCGGCUUGUCGCGUCGGUUGUGAAAGCCCGGGGCUUAACCCCGGGUCUGCAGUCGAUACGGGCAGGCUAGAGUGUGGUAGGGGAGAUCGGAAUUCCUGGUGUAGCGGUGAAAUGCGCAGAUAUCAGGAGGAACACCGGUGGCGAAGGCGGAUCUCUGGGCCAUUACUGACGCUGAGGAGCGAAAGCGUGGGGAGCGAACAGGAUUAGAUACCCUGGUAGUCCACGCCGUAAACGGUGGGAACUAGGUGUUGGCGACAUUCCACGUCGUCGGUGCCGCAGCUAACGCAUUAAGUUCCCCGCCUGGGGAGUACGGCCGCAAGCUAAAACUCAAAGGAAUUGACGGG
Molecule: ribosomal RNA, 811 nt
Filed under: Streptomyces sp.
Lineage: Bacteria; Bacillati; Actinomycetota; Actinomycetes; Kitasatosporales; Streptomycetaceae
Description: bacterial SSU rRNA
Rfam family: Bacterial small subunit ribosomal RNA
Source: RNAcentral